This 253-nucleotide ribosomal RNA is filed under the name uncultured bacterium. Its description in RNAcentral is "partial 16S ribosomal RNA". It matches the Rfam family "Bacterial small subunit ribosomal RNA", at positions 524 to 776 of the family's 1533-position model. The record is from RNAcentral.
UACGGAGGGGGCUAGCGUUGUUCGGAAUUACUGGGCGUAAAGCGCACGUAGGCGGCUUUGUAAGUUAGAGGUGAAAGCCCGGGGCUCAACUCCGGAAUUGCCUUUAAGACUGCAUCGCUAGAACGUCGGAGAGGUAAGUGGAAUUCCGAGUGUAGAGGUGAAAUCCGUAGAUAUUCGGAAGAACACCAGUGGCGAAGGCGACUUACUGGACGACCGUUGACGCUGAGGUGCGAAAGCGUGGGGAGCAAACAGG